RNAcentral lists this transfer RNA (73 nucleotides) under Streptomyces roseifaciens. RNAcentral's name for it is "tRNA-Ala". It matches the Rfam family "tRNA". From Rfam's summary of the family: Transfer RNA (tRNA) molecules are approximately 80 nucleotides in length. Their secondary structure includes four short double-helical elements and three loops (D, anti-codon, and T loops). Further hydrogen bonds mediate the characteristic L-shaped molecular structure. tRNAs have two regions of fundamental functional importance: the anti-codon, which is responsible for specific mRNA codon recognition, and the 3' end, to which the tRNAs corresponding amino acid is attached (by aminoacyl-tRNA synthetases). tRNAs cope with the degeneracy of the genetic code in two manners: having more than one tRNA (with a specific anti-codon) for a particular amino acid; and 'wobble' base-pairing, i.e. permitting non-standard base-pairing at the 3rd anti-codon position. Lineage: Bacteria; Bacillati; Actinomycetota; Actinomycetes; Kitasatosporales; Streptomycetaceae. The record is from RNAcentral. RNAcentral also lists the same sequence under 1 other name.
UCGUGCGUAGCGCAGAGGCGGACGCGCCGGCCUGGCAGGUCGGAGGACGCCGGUUCGAAUCCGGCCGUACGAG